GAAUUGUUCAUUGCACUUUCUUGUCCUUUAGAAGUGCAGGAAGAAGAUUCAUGAAGUGGAUCAUUCCUGUGACGAGCUGACUGGGCUUCAAGCUGUGGGAACAGUAGAAAGAUUUAUGCCAGGAAGAUAUACGAAAGGUACCAGAAAUGCAGCUGAUCUUCCCAUUGGAGAGAAGAAAUCUACAAGCAGUUGACAAACUGCACAGCUCAGCA
This is a long non-coding RNA of Mauremys reevesii (Reeves's turtle), 212 nucleotides long. RefSeq lists it as uncharacterized. The transcript has 3 exons. The record is from RefSeq and is a predicted model, not a curated record. NCBI's taxonomy places the organism in Eukaryota, Metazoa, Chordata, Testudines, Geoemydidae.